AGAAAUGGAGCUCAUGGUGCUGAAGAAGAGUGACUCAAGAGUGGAGCCUUGAGUUUUCUGUUUGCUCUUUGACCUUCAAUGAGGCUCUCGCCCAUCCAACUGCCAAAAUCCACACAUCUCCCGUUUGAGGGAAGAAGAAACUCUGAGGUUGUCUCCACUGAUGGAUAACUGCUGGAUUCACAUUCAAAACAGAGACAGAAUUCCAUCGUCAUGGAGAUGAAUUCCAUCGUCAUGGAGAUGAAUUCCAUCGUCAUGGAGAUCAGCACACAAA
This is a long non-coding RNA of Gambusia affinis (western mosquitofish), 271 nucleotides long. RefSeq lists it as uncharacterized. NCBI's taxonomy places the organism in Eukaryota, Metazoa, Chordata, Actinopteri, Cyprinodontiformes, Poeciliidae. The record is from RefSeq and is a predicted model, not a curated record. The transcript has 3 exons.